CUCUGGUUGCAAGGACAUUUCCUCCUGAGAGGAGGGUGUCCCCGGAUGUGCUAUGGCAGCGGUUUUGGAAGGUGGCCAUGGGAUCUCAAGAGUGAGAGCUUUCUUUUCACGCACUGGAUGGGAGUCAUCAGAGGCGUGGGGAAGAAUGAGAUGGUGGCCCGUGGCUGACCCUCCCUGGAAGGAGGCAAGAGAUGGAGCGAGGAGGUCCUGGAGAAGAAGACGGUCAUCUAAAAACACAGGAGAAGACCGAAAUUGCUGAAUGCCGCCUCCUACAAGGCUCCAGGAACACGAGGUCCCGGAUCUCUGAACGAAAACCUAUGUACGCUUUUCCUUCCCUCAGCGGAGGUCUGGGUCCUUCGGCGACCAGCUCCAUCGGAACCUGGGCCGCGUGGGGAUCGGAAGCCCCUCCCGGGCCGCUGCUGCUCUGGAGAUUUGAACCAGAUCUCUGAGGUUUCAUUGGCUUAGGGCCCUGGGACAAAUGCCGCACGGCUUCCCAGGAACCAUCGGGGCGCCGCCCGGUCGUUGUCACGGUGAUCAUGAAGCAAAGGGCGCUGCGUCGCCGCCUACGUGACGCGCUCGGCAUCACCCAGCAACCUCUUAGCUGGUGGAGGAGAAACCCAGGAGGGCGUUUCCGGGCGUGCCCAAGGGACGCUGGGCCAACGAGGGACUAGGAAGUCACCCUGGACCGCUGCGUCGAGGAGGCGGGGCCUCUGGCGUUUGGCCCGCCCCUUCUGCCACGCUAUGGGCAGUGGGCGGUGGCAUCAGGUAGUUGCUGCCAGGAAAUGGCCGGGCGUGUCGCUCAAGCGGGAUCGGAGAAGACGGGAUCGGAGAAGACGGGAGCGUGCUGGACGUUUCGCCUCCGCGGCACCAGCGCUAGUCCUUCCCCAGAGCCCCGCCGGCGCUGGCCACCGGGCCACCCGACGUGAAUGCCGCGGGGUCGCAGCGUGUCCAGCCGUCGCCUGUGGAGAUGCGUGCGCAUACGGAGAGGGACGCAAGCUCUGAGGUCAUACCAUCCACCGCCCGGCCGUUUCCUGGCUGGCUGCCUGCUUCUUCUCGUCGGUCCUGCCGACGGAACGGGCGUUGACAUGAAUGGGGGCCCCGGAGGCCUUCCCCGAGUGUUUAUUUUACAUGACAGCGCUCUCCCCACCCAGCUGUGCAGCUGCACACCUGUACAGGUGGCUUUCGCUACGCUGAUGCGGUCUGUCGUGGGGCCGCUCACCCUCACCUAGGGUUGGUUGACUUCCCACAGACCGCUUGGUCUUCCACGGGAAUCUCUGCUUUCACAUUUCAGACUAGGCAAGAGAGGAAACGUGCGGAGUGGGCAUCGGGCUGUGGCCAGAGAGGGGCAGUCCCUGUGAAUCCCAGGUCCGGUGUGGAGGGCUAUUGGGUCUUUCAGUCUUCCUGACCCGAUGCUGGUAUCUCAUACUAUUGUUCCCUGACUCCUGAGUUCUAACUGGUGUUCUCCAAGUGUCAUUAUUAGAGGUGAAUGAAAUCAAAGCUUCUCUGAA
Mesocricetus auratus (golden hamster) is the source of this 1508-nucleotide long non-coding RNA. RefSeq lists it as uncharacterized. NCBI's taxonomy places the organism in Eukaryota, Metazoa, Chordata, Mammalia, Rodentia, Cricetidae. The transcript is spliced from 2 exons. The record is from RefSeq and is a predicted model, not a curated record.